This is a long non-coding RNA of Leptidea sinapis, 1201 nucleotides long. RefSeq lists it as uncharacterized. The record is from RefSeq and is a predicted model, not a curated record. The transcript has 2 exons. NCBI's taxonomy places the organism in Eukaryota, Metazoa, Arthropoda, Insecta, Lepidoptera, Pieridae.
GCUUUCAAGUGAUCGCACCGCUGUGGCAAGUAUUUUAAACAGCGCUGUGAACGAAUAUUGUGUUAUCUGUGUUCUCAAUAUGGAUAUAUGCACCUUGGACCCGACAGGACUGUAUUAAUAUGGACUGCACUUUAGACCCUACGGGACAAUAUUAACUAUGGAUGUCAAGAGUUUAGACCCUACCGGUGUGUACUGACUUUCUUAUAAGAAUCCUACCAGAAUGGAAGUAUUAGAUCCUACUGGGCAAUAUUAAUCAAAACAAUGAUUGGGCUGGACCCAACGGAAAUCUACUGACUUUUAAAAUGUGCUGUGGAAGACGGAAAAUACUGACUGGCACACGACCGGAAGAAACAUCAUCGUGUAGAAAAAGGAGGUUUAGAACAAUUGUAGGAAGCAAGGGAUUGUAAAUAGUUCGAAUUAUGAAGGGGCGCAUUGACAAGGUCGUCGGUUUGAGAUCAGCUGACUUGCGUGCUUGCAAUCCGGAAAUACGCAUAAUCGAAUCAUACCUACGACUCUUUGCAACUAUAAAUACAUGUUCGACAGACUGUCAAAUUAAAUCUAUGGUAACCACAGCAUAUUGGCUUUUCCUUCAGUCCAGCUCAGAAUAUAUUAAUACUCACUAAUUUUAGUUGCUAAUUGACUGAAUUUGUGUAACUUCGUCUCUACAUAUCUUUCAUGCAUUUGUUAUUAUAAAUAAAUUAUUUAGUUAUAGAGUGUAUUAACUAUCGUUUAGAAUAGAAAUUAGUUUUAAUAUUGUUUAAGAGUAAAUGUAAUUAAUUUAGUAAUAUCAGUAAAAACAUGUACUUUAAUUGUAAGUAUAUAUUAUAUUAUAUAAUUUUAAAAGGACAAGCUAAUAGAGGCAAGGGUUUUUUGAAAGGUUUUCUUCAUUCAACUGUACAUUUUCCAAGGAACCUUCAAAAUUUACCGUUUAAUUUAUAAAUUAAGUAAUCAUUCUUAUUAUUUCGAGUUACCAUUUCUUAUCGCUUGGCAAAUGUAAAUGCUUCCGCCAUUUUGUAUUCUGAAAAUCUUUUAUGGAAUGUUGGUUUUGAGACUGUUUCUGAUUUUAGUGUUUCCGAUUAAGACUGAAGGGAUAUUUAACUGUUAUUUCACAAUCAAUAGUAAGAUCCCAACGUAGUUUAUGUUUCAUAAUUAAGUUUAGUUUAAGUUCAUAUAUAUAAUAAAGAUGUUUAUAUUAGUAUAA